CCAUAAAAAUAGAAAUUGUUUUUGGGGACUGAAUCUGUCGCGACGCCACCUAGAGUCUCUAGAAUUCGGUGAUUAAACGUUAAUCCGUUUGUCGAGGUUUAUGUUGAUUUUACGUGGAGGGUGAUUAGGUGGGAUAUUAGGGUGCAGCGACGACGAAGCACCUGAUAUCCAGUUUAAAAAGAAAAAGAAGACAAAAACUUUAAGGAAAUACGAAGCAAAAGACAUUGACAGCGAGGGAGAGAAAAUGUUCGUCAGGGAGAAAGUCGAGGAAACAAAGAUUAUUCAGAAACUCCGCGAGAGACCGCCUGGCGUCAAUAUUAUCGGUUUGGCGCUCGGAGAAAGUGUUGUAUCCAAUGUGUUUCGGAUCCUUUUAAUAUGAAAACUGGAGGAAAAUAUGACUGUGCUGAAGAAUACAAAAUAUAAGCUGAAUGACUCGUAGGACACCAGCAUUAGAACUCAAUUUAAUAUGGAGACCAAUAAAUGCGACGAAGAAAUGGUCAAUUAUGUAGAAGAAUUGUCGAAGUGUAAGAGUAAAAAUAAUAAUGAUGCAAUGAAUAGUACGAAUAAUGAUAAAGGAUCAUAUUGCUUGCUAGAGGAAACAGCAUUGCGUACAAUACUAGAUGCAAGUUAAGCGAGAAAAUUUGAGGAGUGAUUUUGGUCUAGGAGCAGGAAUGUUGGGCGAAUUACCUUGUUAACAGUAACUUGGUAGCUAGGAAGGAAGCCAGUGUAGUCACGAUGUCGCCCAAUAAAUAGCACACAGGAUAUGACAAAGUUUGAGGGAAGAGAAUAACACGCGACUGAGUUAUUCAAACAACCAAAAUACAAUAAAUUAUGCAACAAGCGAUAACGAAAUGGCAUCUAGACAGCGUUUGGCGGACAUAAAGGAAAGAAAGGAAGAGAUGGAAGCAGUUUCUUCCGAAAUUUUUGAUAAUGAAAAUAUUCUGAGAGAAGAUUAAGCACAAAAUCGUCACAUUCUUUUCAAUUAAAACGACGAAGAAGAAGACUAAUAUGGCCUAUAAUACUGAGUAUUCUAUUUUUCUUUCUCCUCUUUCAAGUGAUUCGUGGUAACGAACCACAUAGUAAUUCAUGUUUGUCAAAAUCAGCGAUUAAACAAGCUAAUCGACUAUAUUAUCAAGAGAUACCGUAUUAUCAAGAGAUACAGAUGAAGAAAGCGACUUCUCACCCUAUGUGAUUUUCUUGUUCGCCUGAUCUAGCUGUAUCAUUAAAAUAAGUAGCAAGAUUAUGUGUAUAUUGUAACGUAUGUCAAUUACGGAAAGGCUGAAUAUAAUUGCAGAGUUUAUUUCACCUUUUAAAUGUUGUCACUUUGCAACCGUAAGUGCUGCGAUUGAGAUUUCUUGGUUCCUUGUUGGUAGCAACAACUGUCAUCUCGUAAUCAUUAUUCUACAUGCAUGAUGGAAAAGGUGCGAUUGCGUACUCAAUGCCAAUGUAAUUAAUUACUGUGAUUUCUUCUGUUCGAUACUUUAAUUUUGUAAUUGUAAUUUAAAUUUAAGAAUCAAGAAACAAAAAAAACAAUACAAUAUUACGAUAAUUUUAUUUCUAUUCGCAUAUAUAUAUUAUAUAUAUCAUCCAUCGAGAGGCAUCCAUUAAAUUAUGUGCAUUCCAGUAA
RNAcentral lists this long non-coding RNA (1627 nucleotides) under Monomorium pharaonis (pharaoh ant). Its description in RNAcentral is "uncharacterized LOC118644973". The record is from RNAcentral. Lineage: Eukaryota; Metazoa; Arthropoda; Insecta; Hymenoptera; Formicidae.